UGUGGCAUGCUGUGAGAUAAGAGGGUCAACACACAUUCAUCUAAAAGGAGAUUAAUAAAAGAAGAAGAAAAGAGUGGAAGACAGGAAACGCAAAUGUCUUAAUAAGUGGCAAGCUGCUACAAAACUACUUUAGACCGAGGACCUACUGGACCUAUUUUGGUAGCAGCUUGCCAUACAAUACUGUUUAUUCAUCUGUACAGAAACUCCAUGUGGUGUGUCAGAAGCUCAGAAAAAACUGGAGAGAAAAAGCCCCCUCCCCAAAAACAUAAUACCAGUGUUACCAGUUGACGUUAUUCUUCAAUAACACAAACCCCAAUGCAAAUCAGGGGGUGGAAAACAGGUUUAUUCAAAAGAGGAUAAAUCAUAGAUGUUACGCUGAGAGGUAGAUGGUCGUUCCUUCCUUGUCCUCAGUGAUUCUCUCCAUCGAACGGUUCCUUCCCUGUCCUCAGUGAUUCUCUCCACCGAACGGUUCCUUCCCUGUCCUCAGUGAUUCUCUCCAUCGAACGGUUCCUUCCUUGUCCUCAGUGAUUCUCUCCAUCGAACGGUUCCUUCCCUGUCCUCAGUGAUUCUCUCCAUCGAACAGUUCCUUCCCUGUCCUCAGUGAUUCUCUACACAGAACAAAGGGACAGCGUGUAGUUUUUUAACCCAGCCCUAGCCUGCGGUUGACCAAUUAGAAUUCCUUGCAAUAAAACUGAGCCAGUGGCCAAAUAACAAUGUAUCCUAUUUCAGACUCAAUAUAUAGACAAAUUCCUCCCAUGUCUCUGCAUUAAUCCCCUAUUUCCAUUGAUCGCUAGUACUCCAUCAACUUUUAGUCCUCUGUCUCUGCGUUGUGUAUUUAUCUUCCAAAUAUUCUUAUACACUAGACACAAUCCAUAUUGACAGGUCAAACAUUUAUAAAUUAAUAAAAAAUAAAUAAAAAAAACAUGCCCUUUUAUACUUUAUUUUUAAACUUUUAAUUAUAUAAAAAUAUUUAUUACAACAUUCUUCAUUUUGCGUGUAAUUCAUUCAAUCCAGUUGAUUAAUUCAUAGGCGUCUGUAUUUAUAAAGACCCAUUUGGUUGGUUUCUACAUUAUUUAAUGCAUGUUUGCAUAGAUUCCAGGAGACUUAAUAACAUCUCUGGGCAAGUCUAUCCUUCCUUUCACAACGCAGAAGCAAAAGUAGGAAAGAAGAGAUGACAUGACAUAAAACCUAAAACGUGAUAAGGCGAGAUUUUUGUCAAUUCAUUUUCUCUACUUCCUCAGAGUCAGAUGAGAUAACGGAUACCAUUUGCAUGUCUCUGCAUUCAGCACGAAGGAAGUUAACCUUUUUAAUUCAAAUGCUAUUUACAUGCUUCUGACUCUGGGUAAGUUGAUAAAGGGCUCAAUUGCCCCCCCCCCCAAAAAAAAAUCUCGCAAUAUCCCUUUAAAUCAAAAUGAUAACACGACAACCAUAACUCCUUAAACAUCAUAUGAUUAUUGAUUACAUGAUCAGUUCAUGAUGUCACAGAGAUGGAACAGUUGCCACAUGGUGUAAACAUGACAAACAGUUAACAUACCAGGAACUCAUGACAAUAAUAUUGGAGAUCUUAUUAAAAGCUGGACGCUGGGAGAGACAUACGGAGUGGCAAAACAAUUAUUUUGCUGUCAGUUCCAGAGAGAUGGCUGUAAAGGGGGGAAAAGAGGUGCUGAGGAAGACGACUGCUGAAGAAGACGACUUCUACCCCUCUCUCUCUCUCUCUCUCUCACACACGCACGUGAAGAGUUGAACACACUCACAAAACAUCAAACAAUCAAUACAAUUUGAAACGGUUGCUUGAAUGUCUUAGCGUUUUCAUUUGUAAAAGUUUACCAUGGUAACCCCACCAGAUCCAGCCAUUGACUGUACCCCUCAGCUCUGAGUCAGUCAGUCAGUCCAUCCACCAAUCAGUCAGUCAGUCAAUCCACCAAUCAGUCAGUCAGUCAGUCAGUCAGUCAGUCAGUCAGUCAGUCAGUCAAUCCACCAAUCAGUCAGUCAGUCAGUCCAUCCACCAAUCAGUCAGUCAGUCAAUCCACCAAUCAGUCAGUCAAUCAAUCCACCAGUCAGUCAGUCUAUCCACCAAUCAGUCAGUCAGUCAAUCCACCAGUCAGUCAGUCCAUCCACCAGUCAGUCAGUCAAUCAAAUCAACUGAAGAUAGUUUAGUGUUUGUAUAUGUAUCAGUAUACCUACUUUGCAUUUCAUAACGUAUGAUUGCUUAUGGUAGAUUUGCAUGGCUUGUGGAUUGGAUUGGUUGUUUCAACACAACAGUCCAACUGUUUCAACUUUUUUUUUUUAAAUACCAGCUUUUUUUCCCUCCCUUCCCCUCCACAGAAAGUGAUUCAUACAAGUGAGUCUUCAUGUAAAAAUGUAUUAAUUUUCUGCAUUAAAAACAAUCAAUCAGACAAAGAUGAAUGGACUGAUUAAAUGAAUCAUUACAUCGUUAAUUGGGUGUUAAUACAGAACAUGUUGUACGGCUGUAAAAUGGGACCUGCUUUACAACUGCCUUUUGUGACUAAUCAAGAACAUGUAUAAAACAUUUUUUAUUUUUUUAAAUUAACAGUCAGAAGUGAAGACAGAAAGAAAGAACAUUUAAAAAAAGGUCAAAUUAAAGGGGAUCCUGGGAUAUCCCAGACAUCUCAGGGGCAAAUAUCUGACCCGUGUAGGUCUUCCUAGAGACACUGGACGUGGUUGAAGCUGUGAGGGGUGACUUGAAGAAUAUAUAUGUUAUUCAUUUGGCAUAUCCAUUUCAGUUCCGAUAUAGAUUUCCUAACACAACGGCAAAAAACAUUGUUGUUUCACUCAUCGACCAGGGAUGAGUAUGGAAAGUAUGUGUAAAGCCAAUGACAAUAGAGGCUGGGUUAGAGAUGGACUUUCACGUACGUACACACACACACACGCUUAAAACAACUGCAACAGUUAUUUUUUAAUAAAAACUGAAAUUAAAGUGAUUAAAGUGUCUUGGCAAAACAGCUAGCUAGCUUCUCAACGCUCAACAUGACACAUACUAAUGAAUAUGUGAUCUACUGCAACACUGACGCGGUCAACGUUUAUAAUAAAUAUGUCAGGGACCAUCAACCAGAUUCAGUCGCGGGACGAUUAUUUCUUGAGCGGAAAUAAUCGUUUUGUUUUUAGAAAAACAUUUUGCUCUGAAAACUUUGGGGGGAACCGGGCUGUCAGUUGGGGAACCCUGAAAUAUGUGAUCCACUGCAACAGACGAGGUCAAAGGUCAAAGUUCCUACACACUAGGUUUCCCUUCUUUACUCAGACACAAAAAGUAAUGAGUUAUCUCUAUAUAUCAUUUCUGUAUAUUAUCUCUGUAUACGAACUAAUAUGCAAAGUUUAGUAUCAGGGUUUAAUACAGGCUAGAUCCAAGGUUAUCAGUGCUUGUUGGGUCUAGUGUUCUAUAUUCCAAGGGAUGGGGACUAUUUCUCUCAGGGGUUUUAAGAGACAAAACUGGUUGAUUAUUUUAGACUUGAGCGUGUCUCACGCACACAACAACAGAUUUUGAUGGACGGGAAUAUCCGAUUAGUUCACGCAAACAAGAAGUGACUGUGAUAAACACAUUAAACCAAUAUCUCCUGUCCUGAGGCAAACCAUCUAACCCAACAGAGUUCGGAAAGGAGGUUGAAUGUAACAAGCACUGUUUUCUCCCAGUUUCUCAAGACUACUCUGAGGGCAUACGAUCAAGCAGGAUCAUUGAGUAAGCCAGCUAAAUUUGCUUAACUUUUCUGAAAUAACUUUCAUAAUUUUAUUGUUUGUUUUUUUUUUAGAAAGAAAAGCUUGACAAGGAUUCAACAAACUCCUAACUCUAAUUGCUAGGGGGCUGGCCCACAUGGGGGAAAACGGCACAGAACAGCUUCUACCUCUGAGGGUUUAGAGUUUAAGGUAGUCACCUCAUACAAGUAGUUGGGAGUAUGGCUAGAUGGUACACUGUCCUUCUCUCAGCACAUAUCAAAGCCGCAGGCUAAAGUUAAAUCUAGACUUGGUUUCCUCUAUCGUAAUCGCUCCUCUCACCCCAGCUGCCAAACUAAUCCUGAUUCAGAUUACAAUCCUAGCCAUGCUAGAUUACAGAGACAAAAUGUAUAGAUCGGCAGGUAAGGGUGCUCUCGAGAGGCUAGAUGUUCUUUACCAUUCGGCCAUCAGAUUUGCCACCAAUGCUCCUUAUAGGACACAUCACUGCACACUAUACUCCUCUGUAAACUGGUCAUCUCUGUAUAGCCGUCACAAGACCCACUGGUUGAUGCUUAUUUAUAAAUAUUUAUAUCCCUGGGUCGCUCCUCUUUUCAGUUCGCUGCAGCUAGCGACUGGAACGAGCUGCAACAAACACCCAAACUGGACAGUUUUAUCACAAUCUCUUCAUUCAAAGACUCAAUCAUGGACACUCUUACUGAUAGUUGUGGCUGCUUCACGUGAUAUAUUUUUGUCUCUACCUUCUUGCCUUUGUGUCGUUGUCUGUGCCCAAUAAUGUUUGUCCAUGUUGUGCUCCUACCAUGUCGUGUUGUUGUCAUGCUGUGUUGUCAUGUGUUGCUGCCAUGUCGUGUUGCUGCCAUCCUGUGUUGUCAUGUGUUGCUACCAUGCUGUGUUGUCAUGUGUUGCUACCAUGCUGUGUUGUCAUGUGUUGCUGCCAUGCUGUGUUGCUGUGUUGCUGCCAUGCUGUGUUGUCAUGUGUUGGUGUUACCAUGCUGUGUUGUCAUGUGUUGGUGUUACCAUGCUGUGUUGCUGCCUUGCUCUGUUGUUGUCUUAGGUCUCUCUUUAUCGAGUGUUGAGUUGUCUCUCUUGUCGUGAUGUGUGUUUUGUCCUAUAUUUUUAAUCGCCCAUCCACGUUGGAGGCCUUUCGCCUUUUGGUAGGCCGUCAUUGUAAAUAAGAAUUUGUUCUUAACUGAUUUGCCUAGUUAAAUAAAGGCGAAAUAAAAUAAUUCCAUAAAAACAGUCGCUUUCUGUGACUAAUUGAGGUAAAAUAGUAAUUCUGCAUGUCAGCAGUACACAAUGACACAUCCAGCCCAGAGUAGGAGUUAAGAAAUAUUUGGUCACCUAAAUUCCAGAGCACGUCUUCAAUGAGGAAGAAAAUCUCUAGUUAUUUCUGGUUGUUUAUUGAAGUUAGCUGGCUAACUCAUUGAUCCUUCUGCGUAUUAUAGUGCUCUGACGAGCCUUUCCUACCUCAGUCCCACAACACAACUUUAAACCUUCUGAGCAGAGACACCUUUCCCAUGGCAACACCAGAACAGAAACACACUUUUCCCAUGGCAACACCAGAACAGAAACACAGUUUUCCCAUGGCAACACCAGAACAGAAACACACCUUUCCCAUGGCAACACCAGAACAGAAACACACCUUUCCCAUGGCAACACCAGAACAGAAACACACUUUUCCCAUGGCAACACCAGAACAGAAACACACUUUUCCCAUGGCAACACCAGAACAGAAACACACCUUUCCCAUGGCAACACCAGAACAGAAACACACUUUUCCCAUGGCAACACCAGAACAGAAACACACCUUUCCC
Long non-coding RNA from Oncorhynchus tshawytscha (Chinook salmon), 5498 nucleotides. The record is from Ensembl. NCBI's taxonomy places the organism in Eukaryota, Metazoa, Chordata, Actinopteri, Salmoniformes, Salmonidae.